AGAACGAACGCUGGCGGCAGGCUUAACACAUGCAAGUCGAACGCGUGUAGCAAUACACGAGUGGCGCACGGGUGAGUAACGCGUGGAUAUCUGCCUUUUGGUUCGGAAUAACCCCGGGAAACUGGGGCUAAUACCGGAUGGUUCCUACGGGAUAAAGAUUUAUCGCCAAAAGAUGAGUCCGCGUCCGAUUAGCUAGUUGGUGGGGUAAUGGCCUACCAAGGCGACGAUCGGUAGCUGGUCUGAGAGGACGAUCAGCCACACUGGGACUGAGACACGGCCCAGACUCCUACGGGAGGCAGCAGUGGGGAAUAUUGGACAAUGGGGGCAACCCUGAUCCAGCCAUGCCGCGUGAGUGAUGAAGGCCUUCGGGUUGUAAAGCUCUUUUGGCGGGGACGAUGAUGACGGUACCGCAGAUAAGCCCCGGCUAACUUCGUGCCAGCAGCCGC
This 446-nucleotide ribosomal RNA is filed under the name uncultured bacterium. Its description in RNAcentral is "SSU rRNA". It matches the Rfam family "Bacterial small subunit ribosomal RNA", at positions 26 to 518 of the family's 1533-position model. The record is from RNAcentral.